This 253-nucleotide ribosomal RNA is filed under the name uncultured bacterium. RNAcentral describes it as "partial 16S ribosomal RNA". It matches the Rfam family "Bacterial small subunit ribosomal RNA", at positions 524 to 776 of the family's 1533-position model. The record is from RNAcentral.
UACGUAGGGGGCAAGCGUUGUCCGGAUUUAUUGGGCGUAAAGAGCGUGUAGGCGGCUUGGUAGGUCCGCUGUGAAAACUCGAGGCUCAACCUCGAGAUGUCGGCGGAAACCACUUGGCUAGAGUCCGGAAGAGGAGAGUGGAAUUCCUGGUGUAGCGGUGAAAUGCGCAGAUAUCAGGAAGAACACCUAUGGCGAAGGCAGCUCUCUGGGACGGUACUGACGCUGAGACGCGAAAGCGUGGGGAGCAAAAGGG